Molecule: transfer RNA, 69 nt
Filed under: Sterna paradisaea (arctic tern)
Lineage: Eukaryota; Metazoa; Chordata; Aves; Charadriiformes; Laridae
Also listed under: 1 other name
Description: tRNA-Ala
Rfam family: tRNA
About the family: Transfer RNA (tRNA) molecules are approximately 80 nucleotides in length.
Source: RNAcentral
GAGGUUCUAGCUUAAUUAAAGCGUCUGGGUUGCAUUCAGAAGAUGUGGGUUAAUACCCUACGAAUCUUA